Zea mays is the source of this 795-nucleotide long non-coding RNA. RefSeq lists it as uncharacterized. The record is from RefSeq and is a predicted model, not a curated record. NCBI's taxonomy places the organism in Eukaryota, Viridiplantae, Streptophyta, Magnoliopsida, Poales, Poaceae. The transcript is spliced from 2 exons.
GGCCAUCUCAGAAUGCCUUUAUCACCAAUUUCUCAAAAACCGUUGAGAUAAAAAAUAUUCCGAACCGGGGCGCAUCCCCUUGUGCUAGCUACCCCCACGACCUCGAGUUCUAGAAGCCGUCUGCUCCGCCAUCUGCUCGUCCUCGAUGAUGACUUCAGGCUCCGCUUAGACUUUCAAUCUUGGGCGACAGAGCACAGAGGCGCCAUCGUCAGCGGCAGAAGAUGCCCUCUUAUCGAUAGUAGGGAGGCAGGCUCAGGUUAACCAAAAACUUGCGCAAGCACUCAGAUAUUCUCUGUCUUUAAUGAGUGAUGCAGCUAAGAAACUUCAAGAUACUGCCUCUUUGUGCUACACAGAUGAAGAUGUUGUCGACGGUUUCAAGCUGACUCAAGUGGCUCGUUCCUUGGACGAGUUAGCUGAAACGUUAGAAGUUACUGCAAUUGACUGUCAGGUCUCGAUGAUGGAUCCAACAACUAUAUUAGAAGCUGGCUAUGGUAGCGAAGAUAGUGCGGUGUGGGAGGACGUAUUCCGUGACCGAGAAAUAAUGAAUCAGCCAUUGGAAGCGGAGACACUAGCUGAGCACUGUGCUAAGUGGGGGCUGAAUUACAAUGAGAUCAGGGAUAGAUCUGUGUAACAUCUUCUAGUGUAGUGCUUUUGUAACACUAGCUAUGCUUUUGUAAGGUGAACUUGAUCAGUGUAACACCGACAGUGCUUAUGUAACACUGGCUAUGCUAUUGUAAUGUGUAAGAACUAUGUUGUUAUGUUGCAACCGACAUGGAACUUGGCUGUUAUCUUUUA